GACGAACGCUGGCGGCGUGCCUGACACAUGCAAGUCGGACGGUUCUUGUAUCUUCAAGCUUGCUUGCAGGUGCAAGGAUAGUGGCGGACGGGUGAGUAACGCGUGAACAUCUACCCAUUGGAGGGGGACAACCCGUCGAAAGGCGGGCUAAUACCGCGUAAGCCGCGAGGUGAGAGGCUGCCUAUUGGUGGCCGCCGAUGGAUGGGUUCGCGUCCUAUCAGCUGGUUGGUGGGGUAACGGCCUACCAAGGCGAAGACGGGUAGCCGGUCUGAGAGGAUGGCCGGCCACACUGGAACUGAGACACGGUCCAGACUCCUACGGGAGGCAGCAGUGGGGAAUAUUGGGCAAUGGGGGAGACCCUGACCCAGCGACGCCGCGUGAGGGAUGAAGGUUUUCGGAUCGUAAACCUUUCGUUGUACGGGAAGAAGGAUGUGACGGUACCGUACGAGAAAGCCCCGGCAAACUACGUG
This 470-nucleotide ribosomal RNA is filed under the name uncultured bacterium. RNAcentral's name for it is "bacterial SSU rRNA". It matches the Rfam family "Bacterial small subunit ribosomal RNA", at positions 28 to 507 of the family's 1533-position model. The record is from RNAcentral.